GAUGAAGAACGCAGUGAAAUGCGAUAAGUAAUGUGAAUUGCAGAAUUCAGUGAAUCAUCGAAUCUUUGAACGCACAUUGCGCCCGCCAGUAUUCUGGCGGGCAUGCCUGUCUGAGCGUCAUUUCAACCCUCAUGCCCCUAGGGCGUGGUGUUGGGGAUCGGCCAAAGCCCGCGAGGGACGGCCGGCCCCUAAAUCUAGUGGCGGACCCGUCGUGGCCUCCUCUGCGAAGUAGUGAUAUUCCGCAUCGGAGAGCGAUGAGCCCCUGCCGUUAAACCCCCAACUUUCCAAGGUUGAUCUCAGAUCAGGUAGGAAUACCCGCUGAACUUAAGCAUAUCAAUAAGCGGAGGA
Molecule: unclassified non-coding RNA, 348 nt
Filed under: soil metagenome
Description: partial contains 5.8S ribosomal RNA, internal transcribed spacer 2, and large subunit ribosomal RNA
Rfam family: 5.8S ribosomal RNA (bases 1-120)
Source: RNAcentral